This 485-nucleotide ribosomal RNA is filed under the name uncultured bacterium. RNAcentral's name for it is "bacterial SSU rRNA". It matches the Rfam family "Bacterial small subunit ribosomal RNA", at positions 31 to 507 of the family's 1533-position model. The record is from RNAcentral.
GAACGCUAGCGGCAGGCUUAACACAUGCAAGUCGAGGGGCAGCAUAAUGGAUAGCAAUAUCUAUGGUGGCGACCGGCGCACGGGUGCGUAACGCGUAUGCAACCUACCUUUAACAGGGGGAUAACACUGAGAAAUUGGUACUAAUACCCCAUAAUAUCAUAGAAGGCAUCUUUUAUGGUUGAAAAUUCCGAUGGUUAGAGAUGGGCAUGCGUUGUAUUAGCUAGUUGGUGAGGUAACGGCUCACCAAGGCGACGAUACAUAGGGGGACUGAGAGGUUAACCCCCCACACUGGUACUGAGACACGGACCAGACUCCUACGGGAGGCAGCAGUGAGGAAUAUUGGUCAAUGGACGCAAGUCUGAACCAGCCAUGCCGCGUGCAGGAUGACGGCUCUAUGAGUUGUAAACUGCUUUUGUACUAGGGUAAACUCACCUACGUGUAGGUGACUGAAAGUAUAGUACGAAUAAGGAUCGGCUAACUCCGUG